CGCCUCUUGCAAAAUAUAAGAGGUCCAGCCUGCCCAGUGACUCUGUUCAACGGCCGCGGUAUCCUAACCGUGCGAAGGUAGCGUAAUCACUUGUUCUUUAAAUGUGGACUAGUAUGAAUGGCACCACGAGGGUUAUACUGUCUCCUUUCUCUAAUCAGUGAAACUGAUCUCCCCGUGAAGAAGCGGGGAUACACCUAUAAGACGAGAAGACCCUAUGGAGCUUUAAACAAAAUAGCACUUGCCCUACAACACAAAAAUUCCUGAAUCACUAAUACACCUGGCAAUAUGACUAUAAGUUUUUGGUUGGGGUGACCACGGAGUACAACACAACCUCCGUAUUGAAAGAAUACUAUUCUAAGCUAAGAACUACGAAUCUAAGCAUCAAAACACUGACAUCUAUUGACCCAAUACAAUUGAACAACGAACCAAGUUACCCUAGGGAUAACAGCGCAAUCCACUUCGAGAGCUCCUAUCGACAAGUGGGUUUACGACCUCGAUGUUGGAUCAGGGUCUCCCAGUGGUGCAGCCGCUACUAAUGGUUCGUUUGUUCAACGAUUAAAACCCUACG
RNAcentral lists this ribosomal RNA (568 nucleotides) under Phrynoidis asper (giant Asian toad). Its description in RNAcentral is "partial 16S ribosomal RNA". It matches the Rfam family "Bacterial large subunit ribosomal RNA", at positions 1817 to 2600 of the family's 2925-position model. The record is from RNAcentral. Lineage: Eukaryota; Metazoa; Chordata; Amphibia; Anura; Bufonidae.